RNAcentral lists this ribosomal RNA (253 nucleotides) under uncultured bacterium. Its description in RNAcentral is "partial 16S ribosomal RNA". It matches the Rfam family "Bacterial small subunit ribosomal RNA", at positions 524 to 776 of the family's 1533-position model. The record is from RNAcentral.
CACGUAGGGUGCGAGCGUUGUCCGGAAUUAUUGGGCGUAAAGAGCUCGUAGGCGGUGUGUCGCGUCGGCCGUGAAAACCUGCAGCUUAACUGUGGGCUUGCAGUGGGUACGGGCAGACUAGAGGUAGGUAGGGGAGAAUGGAAUUCCCGGUGUAGCGGUGAAAUGCGCAGAUAUCGGGAAGAACACCCGUGGCGAAGGCAGCCCCCUGGGUCAAGAUUGACGCUCAUGCACGAAAGCGUGGGGAGCAAACAGG